Molecule: long non-coding RNA, 1529 nt
Organism: Trichoplusia ni (cabbage looper)
Lineage: Eukaryota; Metazoa; Arthropoda; Insecta; Lepidoptera; Noctuidae
Exons: 5
Source: RefSeq, a predicted model, not a curated record
GCCCGCGCCCGUCGGGGCCCGCCCGCCGCCGCUUCCAGAAAGACUAAUAAUGAAACUGUUCCUGUGAAGGAAACAGGGAAGCGCAAAAGAAAUACUACGGCUGAACCCUCACCAGGAGAAGGUCGCAGCAAGCGCCAGCGCGGCGGCCCGCCGGCGACAGGCUCGCCCGCGAGCAAGCCGACACGCCGCAGUCGCCGGAGAUAACGAACAGACAUGGAACACCGGGAACAAGUACAAAUAGCAUAUUUAAGGUACACAUCAAUACGCCUAUUUUGUGAAGAUUUUAUUAAGAAUUAUUAUUAGGUUUAUUGUCCCACUGGGCAUGUGUGUUCAAUAUUCAUAUUAUUAUGAUCGUACAAACUACAAUUCAUAUCUGCUUUCGUGCGAUUUUUUUAAAAACAACAAAAUAAUAUGUGUGCUGCUGUUGCCGACGGCAAACGUUCUUACUAAAAAGUAUGUUCAUUGAUUCAGGUAUGGUCACAUGUUGUAUGUCUACAACAGAUGUAACAAAGCAUAAAAUGCACCUUAUGUCGUCCCCUUGACGUCUUUAUUUUCAUAAUAGUAUGCUAAUGUUGUGGUACCUUAUUCCAGGGCCCCAAUUCUGCUAUUUAAAAUGGCCGAUGAAUUAAUUAAAUUUGGCUUAAAAUGACAAUUUUCGUUUUAUCUUAAGCAUUUUCUACACAAUAAUUGGAAAUUCAGUGUGGGACGCUAAACUCAAGGUCAAUACAAUUAAGUUCCAAUUAUUGUAUUGGCAAUAUGCUUAAGAGAAUAGGAAUAAUUUCAAAUUUAAUUCAAUUGCCAUUCAUUCAUCGGCCAUUGUAAAAUAGCAGAAUCGGGGCCCAGUUGCUAUUGCAGAGACGCUGGUGAGGUGCAACACCAGGAGUAUUUUAGUAAAUUUGAAAUUGAGGGUUUAUUCUCAAAGUAUAUAAUAAAUUAGAUUUUUUACAUGAAUACCUUUACAUUUGACUCAUUAUUAUGUGCAGUACUAGUGCAGUCAGCUCGCCAUACAGUAUUGUGUUACUGUUGUUGACAUUAGUUAUGCUUGAUGGUUCCUUAACAGAAUGCUCACAAGAAUCAUGGUUCCAUUUUAUUUAUAAUUUUCCUUUUAGUUACUUUUUAUUUUAGAUUUGUGUAACAUUUAGUUUAGUAGAGAGUACUUGUACUUUUAGUGAUUAUUUUAGUAAUAUUGUAUUGUAAGGGGUGUGAUUCCCGAGAGUGGAUUUGUUUUAGUUUGUUAACCUUAGUUGUGGUCGGCGCUACGUAAGCGCACAUUAUGUUUUGACUUCAAAUCUUUGAAUUUCUUUUAUACUUACUGCUUAGCUCAUAAUGGUUAUUUUGACAUGAUUUUAAAUGGCUUGAACGCGACUGUUGGAAACUGUUGUAUUUCAUAGUACCAAUGAAGAAAACGUAAGAAGUCAAUAUAAAGGAACAAAUAUAUUGAUUUAUAAACAAUUUUAUAAAUGAAGACUCGCGUCAAAAUUAUAAAAUAAAUUGUUAAAUAGCUUGUAAUAAAUAGCUCGUGAAUUAUG